GAUGGAUGUAGGGACAGAGUUCAGAGAGAUGGAGUAGGUAGAAGUUGAUACAUGGCUCUGCAGUACCGCAAUUUUACUCUCAUAUGUGCCUGAAUAUGUAGCUGUGCAACCUGGAAUUUUUUAUUUAGGAGGACCAGUGUGUCGAGAAAAAUGACGGAUUCUAGCUUUUAUUUCCUCAUUUUUCAUUGCGGUUUUAAAUGUCUUUGUUUGUGCCUACAUUUUUCACAUGUUCCUUGUAAAAAGAAAAAAAGUUCACCAUAGAGCCUUGACAGUUUAAAGAUAGGGGCCGCGCCAUCUGAUUCUGUCAGGUUAAGGAUAGGGGCCGCGCCAUCUGAUUCUGUCAGGUUAAGGCUAGGGGCCGCGCCAUCUGAUUCUGUCAGGUUAAGGCUAGGGGCCGCGCCAUCUGAUUCUGUCAGGUUAAGGCUAGGGGCCGCGCCAUCUGAUUCUGUCAGGUUAAGGCUAGGGGCCGCGCCAUCUGAUUCUGUCAGGUUAAGGCUAGGGGCCGCGCCAUCUGAUUCUGUCAGGUUAAGGCUAGGGGCCGCGCCAUCUGAUUCUGUCAGGUUAAGGCUAGGGGCCGCGCCAUCUGAUUCUGUCAGGUUAAGGCUAGGGGCCGCGCCAUCUGAUUCUGUCAGGUUAAGGCUAGGGGCCGCGCCAUCUGAUUCUGUCAGGUUAAGGCUAGGGGCCGCGCCAUCUGAUUCUGUCAGGUUAAGGCUAGGGGCCGCGCCAUCUGAUUCUGUCAGGUUAAGGCUAGGGGCCGCGCCAUCUGAUUCUGUCAGGUUAAGGCUAGGGGCCGCGCCAUCUGAUUCUGUCAGGUUAAGGAUAGGGGCCGCGCCAUCUGAUUCUGUCAGGUUAAGGCUAGGGGCCGCGCCAUCUGAUUCUGUCAGGUUAAAGAUAGGGGCCGCGCCAUCUGAUUCUGUCAGGUUAAGG
Oncorhynchus keta (chum salmon) is the source of this 927-nucleotide long non-coding RNA. RefSeq lists it as uncharacterized. Lineage: Eukaryota; Metazoa; Chordata; Actinopteri; Salmoniformes; Salmonidae. The record is from RefSeq and is a predicted model, not a curated record. The transcript is spliced from 3 exons.